UUCUGGCUCAGGAUGAACGCUAGCGGCAGGCCUAACACAUGCAAGUCGCGGGGCAGCACGGGUAGCAAUACCUGGUGGCGACCGGCGCACGGGUGCGUAACGCGUAUGCAACCUGCCCCCAUCAGGGGAGUAGCCCGCCGAAAGGCGGAUUAAUGCCCCAUAGGCCCAGGGCGCCGCAUGGCGCUAUGGGUAAAGCUCCGGCGGAUGGGGAUGGGCAUGCGUGCCAUUAGCUAGUUGGGGCGGUAACGGCGCACCAAGGCGACGAUGGUUAGGGGGUCUGAGAGGAUGGUCCCCCACACUGGUACUGAGACACGGACCAGACUCCUACGGGAGGCAGCAGUGAGGAAUAUUGGUCAAUGGGCGGAAGCCUGAACCAGCCAUUGCCGCGUGCAGGAUGACGGCCCUACGGGUUGUAAACUGCUUUUCCCCGGGAAGAAUAAGCCCCUCGUGAGGGGUGAUGCCGGUACCGGGGGAAUAAGGAUCGGCUAACUCCGUGCCAGCAGCUGC
This 507-nucleotide ribosomal RNA is filed under the name uncultured bacterium. RNAcentral describes it as "bacterial SSU rRNA". It matches the Rfam family "Bacterial small subunit ribosomal RNA", at positions 17 to 518 of the family's 1533-position model. The record is from RNAcentral.